Molecule: long non-coding RNA, 6798 nt
Filed under: Brassica napus (rape)
Lineage: Eukaryota; Viridiplantae; Streptophyta; Magnoliopsida; Brassicales; Brassicaceae
Description: long non-coding RNA (BNAP_LNC015225)
Source: RNAcentral
AAGAUAGGAUCGACCAAAGCUCAACCAAACCUCACCAUAAGUUAUCCAAGUUACUUAAGUAAAGAGGAGAAGUUACCUUGGCCUUUGUGAGUGGAUCAGACCGUUGGAAAGGAUAAGGGAGAGUCUUGGACAGGCUGGCACAGCUGGACACGGAAAAGCAAAAGGUUGAGCCAGCUAAUGAAGGCUCACACGCGCGGCUCACCUCAUUGGACAAGUUUGAAAUGGCCAUUGACUCCACAUGCUUACCUUAUCCUCUUAAGCUACGAAAACCCUAGUCUCUUCUCUUAUAAAGUUGUAAACACUCUCAUUAAUAGAAUCAAGAAAGUUUUGAGUCUUUCUCUUAGUCUUUAAUCUCAAUGGUUCCAUAUUAGACUCAUAAUCUCAUUUCAUACUCUAAUCUUCUCUAAAUCGAUUCUAGUCUUUCCUAAACACUCAGAUUACUCUAAACAUUACUAAAAAUCUCAGUAAGAAGCCUGAUUUGGAUACAUAAAGUGGUGGAGAAUCACCAGGAAGUUGAAUAAAUCUCAUAGGAGUUGGCAUGAAGAAGUUAUCCCACUUUCAAAUCAGUUGAUUCCAGUUUCCCAGUUUGGUAAUAGAACAGCUUCGUCGUCGUUCCAAUCAAACCACGAUGAAUCUCUCGGUAAGAAGCUUGAUUUGGAUACAUAAAGUGGUGGAGAAUCACCAGGAAGUUGAAUAAAUCUCAUAGGAGUUGGGAUGAAGAAGUUAUCCCACUUUCAAAUCAGGUGAUUCCAGUUUCCCAGUUUGGGAAUAGCACAGCUUCUUCGUCGUUCCAAUCAAACUAGGAUGAAUCUCUUUGUAAGUGUUGAGAUGAAGAGUGUCAAGUGAAGAAUGGAGAUGAGGGUUGAGUAGAAUGAAGAAGAGGAAGGAUAGGAAGGUUUGGGAGCUUUGGGAUCAGCCUGUCCGUACAAGGCCGUACAAGAUAGGAUCGACCAAAGCUCAACCAAACCUCACCAUAAGUUAUCCAAGUUACUUAAGUAAAGAGGAGAAGUUACCUUGGCCUUUGUGAGUGGAUCAGACCGUUGGAAAGGAUAAGGGAGAGUCUUGGACAGGCUGGCACAGCUGGACAUGGAAAAGCAAAAGGUUGAGCCAGCUAAUGAAGGCUCACACGCGCGGCUCACCUCAUUGGACAAGUUUGAAAUGGCCAUUGACUCCACAUGCUUACCUUAUCCUCUUAAGCUACGAAAACCCUAGUCUCUUCUCUUAUAAAGUUGUAAACACUCUCAUUAAUAGAAUCAAGAAAGUUUUGAGUCUUUCUCUUAGUCUUUAAUCUCAAUGGUUCCAUAUUAGACUCAUAAUCUCAUUUCAUACUCUAAUCUUCUCUAAAUCGAUUCUAGUCUUUCCUAAACACUCAGAUUACUCUAAACAUUACUAAAAAUCUCAUGGUAUCAGAGCCAGGUUCGUGAAAACCUGAGUUCGUGUUAGGCUCUUUGGAGAUUCAAGAUUGAAGCUUUAAAGAGUUUGGUUGGUGUUCUUGUGUUCUUGGGAAGUUCCGGGUAUUGUCCGAGUUCAAAGACUAGUUCUUAGUGUGUUGCUAAAGCUGUGAGGUUGAAGACCGAGGCAGUGAGUGUUCUUACAAGUCUCUUAACCCAAGAUCCAGUUUGUGAAGUCUAGAGAAGUCAUCGUUCAUCAUGGAAAGUGGUAUGAACAUGAACAUGAAGGUAGCGGUUUGCUUCAAAGGAACCAACUACUUGGUGUGGUCUCGGAUGGUGAGAACCACAGUGGGAAGCAAAGGGCUUUGGAAGCACAUCACGCCAGGAGAAGCUCCAAAGCUCAUCACCCAAGGAGAAACUGAAGGAGAAGCCGCAAGCAAAGCGGAAGAGAAGUGGCAUCAGGAGGACAUGUUGGUGAUGUCAGUGCUGCAUGCUUCACUUGAGCCGGCGAUUCUAGAUGCAUACAGCUACUGUGAAUCAGCUAAAAAGCUGUGGGAUACGUUGAAGAAGGUGUAUGGGAAUACAUCAAACCUAAGCCGUGUGUUUGAAGUGAAGCAGGCUAUAAACAACUUGGUACAAGAGGAUAUGGAGUUCACCAAGCAUCUAGGGAGGUUCAGAACACUCUGGUCCGAGCUGGAGAUGUUGAGGCCAAGUACUACAGAUGCAGAUGAGCUCAACAAAAGAAGAGAGCAAGAUAAGGUCUUUGGGCUACUCCUCACCAUGAAUCCGGCUUACAAUGGUCUUAUCCAACACUUGCUUAGAGAGGACACACUACCUGAUCUUGAAGAAGUGUGCGCAAGGAUUCAGAAGGAACAAGGCUCUAUUGGAUUGUUUGGAAAGAAAGGAGAGCUAUCUCUCGUGAAUCAAGCAACUCAAGAGGAGGGAGGGGAAGCUCCACAAGCACACAAGGCUGCGCAUGGGAAGUAUGAUGAGAGGAGGUUCAAUGGGAACUGUGAUCACUGCAAGAAGCAUGGCCACAAGAAGAGCCAAUGCUGGAUACUCCAUCCCCAUCUCAAGCCAGCAAAGUUUAUGAAGGACAGAGAGGCAAGGGCUAAUGUCUCAGAUGGAGCAAGCGCAAGUGGAGCAGGUACUAGCAAAGGGAAGGAGAUAGAUGGGCGUGAAACAGGUGAUGGGAGGUCUCUUGUAGCCUACACUGGAGCCCCAAGCAACCGUGGGAACUAUGAUCAAGAGUAUCUAAGGAAAUCCGACCUGGAUGCUCUCAUUAAGCUCUUCAAGGAGCAUGGUAACAUUUUUGGGUAUUCCUUUGGGGCUAGGGCUAUAGGGAAUGAUGAGAAUUCAACUAGAAUUGAUAGGAUGCAUGAAAGUGUGAUAGAGAUAAUCAACCAAUCUAGAACGGCUAGUCUUGCUAGGAAUGAUCAUGCAUUCAAACCAUCUAGUAUCCUUGCUCAUAUUGCUAGUUCACAUGCCAUUAAGCCUUUAGUAGUUGAUUCUGGUGCAUCUCAUCAUAUGAUAAGUGACACUAGUUUGAUUAAAAACAUUGUACCAAUGAAUGGAAAUGUGAUGAUAGCUAAUGGAGAUAAGAUACCUAUUAGAGGAAUAGGAAGUCUUAAACUGUUUGAUAAGGAAACUAAAGCUUUUUAUAUGCCUGAAUUUACUUCAAACUUGUUAUCUGUUAAGAAAUGUGCUACUGAUUUGCAAUGUAAUGUCAUAUUCAGUCCUAAUGAUGUGAAGUUUCAGGAUAUUAAAAGCAGCAAAAUGAUUGGAAAGGGAGUGACUAAAGGAGAAUUGUAUUUACUUGAAGAUCUUGCUCCUGUUUCUAGUUAUAGCUGCUCGUUUAUGUCUGUUUCCGGUUCUAGUUUAAGUAAAAAUGCAUUGUGGCAUGCUAGAUUAGGACACCCUCAUAAUAAGGCUUUAAAACUGAUGUUGCCAGGUGUUUCCUUUGAGAAUAAUGAUUGUGAAGCUUGUAUUUUAGGCAAGCAUUGUAAGACUGUCUUUACUAAAUCUACUACGGUUUAUGAGAAGUGUUUUGAUUUGAUUCAUUCUGAUGUUUGGACUGCUCCUUGCUUAUCUAGAGACAAUCAAAAGUAUUAUGUAACCUUCAUUGAUGAAAAAUCCAAAUACACCUAGUUAACCUUAAUUCCAACCAAAGAUAGGGUACUUGAUGCAUUUAAGAACUUUCAAUCAUAUGUGACUAACCAUUAUAAUACCAAGAUAAAGAUUUUCAGGUCAGAUAAUGGAGGAGAGUACACGGGACAAGCAUUCAAGCUUCACCUAUCUCAGCAUGGAAUCCUACAUCAGACAAGCUGUCCCUAUACCCCACAACAGAAUGGUGUGGCUGAGAGAAAGAAUAGGCAUCUGAUGGAAGUGGCCAGGUCCAUGAUGUUUCAAACCAAUGUACCCAAGAGGUUCUGGAGUGAUGCAGUCACUACAGCUUGUUAUCUCAUCAACAGAACACCAACUCUGAUCCUGCAAGGGUUAUCACCAUUUGAGGUAUUGAACCGAUACAAGCCCUCAUUGGAACAUAUGAAGAUCUUUCGGUGUUUGUGUUUUGUGAUGGUACCGGGAGAAUUAAGAAACAAGCUUGAAGCUAGGAGCUCCAAGGCAAUGUUUGUUGGAUACUCAUCAAGUCAGAAAGGAUACAAGUGCUAUGAUCCUAACACAAGGAGAGUGUUAGUAUCUAGAGAAGUGAAGUUUGUGGAAGAAAAAGGAUAUUAUGAGGAGCAGAUUCAAGAAGAUUUGAAAGAUCUCACUUCAGAUAGAGCUGCAACCUUGAGGAUAAUACUAGAAGGACUUGGAAUCAAUAUGGAUCAAGAACAGCAAGAAGUAAGAGGCACUACACCAAUACCGAAUCAUCAGACGUCCAAUCUUGAACAUGAGGGGGGGAAUGGAACAGAAACUCAAACUCAAAGUCAUGAAGAGAGUUCUGGUUCUCAUGAUCAAGCUGUGGAGUCAAAUGAUCAACAAGAAGGAGCUGAAGCAAGUCAGCUAAGGGAUGAAGGAGCUGAAGCAAGUCAGCCAAGAGAAGAAAGUACACAAGAAGGUGUACAAGACAUGGAGUUACCGGCACAAGAAGGGCCAGUGUUGAGAAGAAGUACAAGGCUGAGAAAGGAUCCUUCCAGUUGGGUAAACACGAGAGUGUACUACAAUGCUCAAGCUGUGAAGCAUCCUACUCAGGCCGUGUGCUCUUUCUCUCAAUAUCCAGAAGCACAUGGUGCAUUCAUGGUAAACUUAGAUGAGAAUCACAUUCCAAGAAGCUAUGAAGAGGCAAUGGAGGAUAAGGAAUGGAAGGAAUCAGUAGGGGCUGAGGCAGGAGCUAUGAUAAAGAAUGAUACAUGGUUUGAAAGUGAACUACCAAAAGGGAAGAAGGCAGUAUCUAGUAAAUGGAUCUUCACAAUCAAAUACAAAGCUGAUGGACAGAUUGAGAGGAAGAAGACUAGAUUAGUAGCAAGAGGGUUCACUCAAACAUAUGGAUAGGAUUACAUUGAGACAUUUGCACCAGUAGCCAAGUUACACACCAUUAGAAUUGUACUAAGCUUGGCGGUUAACCUUGGAUGGGGAUUGUGGCAAAUGGAUGUGAAGAAUGCAUUCUUACAAGGAGAACUUGAGGAUGAAGUCUACAUGUAUCCUCCACCAGGUCUUGAACAUCUAGUGAAGAGAGGGAAUGUACUGAGGCUAAAGAAGGCUAUCUAUGGGUUGAAGCAAUCACCAAGAGCAUGGUACAACAAGUUGAGCACAACUCUGAACAGCCGAGGUUUUAAGAAGUCUGAAUUGGACCAUACUCUCUUUACAUUCACUACUCCCUCAGGUAUGGUUGCUCUCCUUGUGUAUGUGGAUGAUAUCAUUAUCACAGGAAGUGAUAAGGAAGGUAUCAAAGCAACCAAGGAGUUUCUAAAGUCUAUGUUUGAAAUAAAAGACUUGGGAGAAAUGAAAUACUUUCUUGGAAUUGAGAUUUGUAGAUCCAAGGAAGGUUUGUUCAUGUCCCAAAGGAAGUAUACACUUGAUCUUUUGAAAGGUGCAGGUGCUUAUGGAGGCAAGACAGCAAGGAUGCCAAUGGAAGAUGGCUACAAAGUACCAAGAGAGGGGGAGAUUGAAGACAGCAAGCCAUUUCAUGAUCCUAAACUCUAUAGAAAACUUGUUGGCAAAAGUAUUUAUCUAACCAUCACAAGACCUGAUAUAUGCUUUGCUGUGAAUCAGGUGAGUCAACACAUGCAGCUUCCCAAGGAACAUCAUUGGCGUAUGGUGGAGAGGCUGCUGAUGUAUCUAAAUGGCUCGCCGGAUCAAGGUGUAUGGAUGGGGUGCAAUGGAAGCACAGAAGUGGUGGGCUAUUGUGAUGCUGAUUGGGCAGGUGAUAGAGCUGACAGAAGAUCAACAACCGGCUAUUGCACAUUCAUUGGAGGCAACUUGGUGACUUGGAAGAGUAAGAAACAGAAGGUGGUGUCAUGCUCUAGUGCAGAAGCUGAAUAUAGAGCCAUGCUGAAGCUUACAAACGAGCUAGUUUGGAUCAAGGGCAUCUUGAAGCAUUUGGAGAUAGCACAAGACACUCCAAUGACAAUGCAUUGUGACAACCAGGCCGCCAUUCACAUAGCCUCCAACUCGGUGUUCCAUGAGAGAACAAAGCACAUUGAGGUUGAUUGCCACAAGGUGAGGCAGAUGAUUGUCCUAGGAGUCAUCUUGCCAUGUUAUACUAGGAGUGAAGAUCAGUUGGCUGAUGUAUUCACCAAGGCUGCAAGGCAAAAGACAAUGGAGUCCAUUCAUAUCAGAUUGGGCCUCAUUGAUCUUGGGAAGAGAAGCAGCUGAUCCCCUUAGUCAUGAGAUCUUUACUCUUUUUCCCUCAUUAAGGUUUUGUCCCAAUGGGUUUUCCUUAGUGAGGUUUUUAAUGAGGAAGAUCUCAUGGCUGUCCAAGCUUAGUCUUUCACAAAGCUAAGCUUGAGGGGGAGUGUUGAGAUGAAGAGUGUCAAGUGAAGAAUGGAGAUGAGGGUUGAGUAGAAUGAAGAAGAGGAAGGAUAGGAAGGUUUGGGAGCUUUGGGAUCAGCCUGUCCGUACAAGGCCGUACAUGGCCGUACAUGACAGGACAGGCCGUACAAGAUAGGAUCGACCAAAGCUCAACCAAACCUCACCAUAAGUUAUCCAAGUUACUUAAGUAAAGAGGAGAAGUUACCUUGGCCUUUGUGAGUGGAUCAGACCGUUGGAAAGGAUAAGGGAGAGUCUUGGACAGGCUGGCACAGCUGGACACGGAAAACCAAAAGGUUGAGCCAGCUAAUGAAGGCUCACACGCGCGGCUCACCUCAUUGGACAAGUUUGAAAUGGCCAUUGACUCCACAUGCUUACCUUAUCCUCUUAAGCUACGAAAACCCUAGUCUCUUCUCUUAUAAAGUUGUAAACACUC